CUCUCGCCUCGGCCUGCUGUCGGGAUCCUCCGUCCGUUGGCGCGGCCGAGGCCGAGGGGCUGGGGCGGGCGGCCGGGAAGUGGGAAAGAGAGCCAGAGGCGCUCCUUUUGUCUUUUCUUCCCAUCCCCCAGCCACUUCAGGACUGAGAGGUGGAUGAUAAACCCUGUCAUAGUAGAGCAAGUUCAGGUGUUUAACACCUGUUACAUGGAAUCUGCCUUUCUCCCUCUUCUUUCUUACUCCCAUAAGUUUAUAUGUACAGAGAUUGAAAAAUAACCUUGAGAGAGUCCAUCCCUCUAACUCCAGGUUCUUUGAACUGACUGCACCAGUGGACUACACCAUAGUUAAGGCAUGGUGACCCCUGUGACCCACACAUACACCUCCAGAUGGCCUCCUGGAGUCAGAAAGUCUAAGGUAACAGAAAAACCAUAAAAGGAGAAGAAUAGCUAGCUCCUGCAGUGCCUAACUGACCUUGUGACAUUCCACCAUUGUUCCUGCCUCAACUGAUACGUCAACCUUGUGACACUGGACCCUGUGGCCUGAUUAACCGACCUUGUGACAUUCUACCAUUGUUCCUGCCUCAACUGAUAAGUCAACCUUGAGACACUGGACCCUGUGGCCUGAUUAACUGACCUUGUGACAUUCUAACAUUGUUCCUGCCUCAACUGAUAAGUCAGCCUUGUGACAUUGGACCCUGUGGCCUGAUUAACCCACUUUGCAACAUUCUACCACUGUUCCUACCUCAACUGAUAGGUCAACCUUGUGACAUUGGACCCUGUGACACACCCCCUCCCCAGCUUGCAAAAAACCACCCUAAACUGUAACUUUCCAUUACUUACCCCCAACCUAUAAAACCAGCUCCAAUCCUACUACCCUCUGCUGACUCUUUUUUUGGACUCAGUCUACUCACACCCAAGUGAAUAAACAGACUUGUUGCUCACACAGAGCCUAUGUUUAAGUGGUCUCCUUAUUCAGCAUGCGCUUAACAAAGUCCAGUUUUUUUUAUUAGUACUCACAUUGCCCAUCCUUG
This 1027-nucleotide long non-coding RNA is filed under the name Aotus nancymaae (Ma's night monkey). RNAcentral describes it as "lncRNA (ENSANAG00000038932.1)". The record is from RNAcentral. Lineage: Eukaryota; Metazoa; Chordata; Mammalia; Primates; Aotidae.